GGGAGCCACAAUUCUGUCCUUGAAUGAGAUGAAAUUCAGCAGUCUUAGUUAUGCUGAUUUUUAUUAUCUGGUCAGCCCAGGGUCUAGGUAAAAACUAGCUAAAUGGUCCAAAAAACAUGAUAUUUCACUAGUCCUAAAGUUUGCUUCCCUAUCACUUAAUGUGUAUGAGCCUGUUAGGAGGAAAUGGCUUUGUUGAUUCACGGUACUUUCAUUGUCACUCGGUCCUAAAUAAUUCACAAUGUCCAUUGUGAUUUCCUCAUCACCCUUGUGUUACUUCAGAUUGUGGCUUUUGUGUUUAUGGUGUGCUGUGUGCACACUGUGCAGUCAUUUGCAGCUAGAAUAGAUGUGCUAUACACAUCAUGUGGAAUUGCUCUACUUCACAACCUAAAAAGUGGUCAGUGUGUCAAGUGUUAAUUCUCUAUUGCAUUCUGGUUCCUAGCUCUGUGCUAAUUCAGGGUUUAUAGUUUAGUUGCUCUCGUCAUCUGAUCCCCAUUUUCCUGCUUUCUGCUGUCAAGACGGCACUUCUCCCUGGGGCUCCCUCAGCUUUGCAAGGCUAAUGUGUAGGUAUGAUGUUGCCUUUGGGUUGUGAUAGUGCUUGCUAGUGCAGUCACCUUGAACAGAUCAGCCUGGCGUAUCUUUGUGUGUGUCUUUAUUUUCAUUCUUCCUGUGUGGCUCUAAGAUAGUUCCCUUGUGAAGUGAUGUUAAGGUGAAUUUUUAUUUUUCAGUGCCAUUAAAUUACCUCUGGGCUCGUUUGGGGGAGCAGUACGAGUGGGUUUAGUCUGUUUCCUUUGGCUGUUGGGGCAUCCGCACUUUUCUGUUUCCCAUCUUUCUGUUAAAAUUGAUGGUUUCCUGUAUUCCUUUUGCUAAUUUGGGUAGCUUUAAAUUGGUGGUGACCCUUAAAUUUUAACACAAAUUAUUAACUAUAAAACUUUCAACAACCAUCUAUUGAACACCUGGCUCCUCCUCUCACUGCUGCCUGGACUCACUGCUGUGUGGUGGUUUUCAAAUUCGAUAGAGAACUGUGGGCAUUUGCAGAAACGGGCCAGGGGAGAAGCCACAGGAAGUGGAACCUGAAGAACUCCAGGUGGUUUUGGGGAUAGAGAAUGUACCCAGUGUGGGAAACAAGAGUGUCUGAAGAAAUGUUUUGAAUAAUUUCUUCCAUUCUCCACUGUCUUCUUUUUUUUUUUAAUUUUUAAUAUUUAUUUUUUAGUUUUCAG
RNAcentral lists this long non-coding RNA (1217 nucleotides) under Marmota monax (woodchuck). The record is from RNAcentral. Lineage: Eukaryota; Metazoa; Chordata; Mammalia; Rodentia; Sciuridae.